GAGGAGUAAUUGCUGUCUUCGAUUAACUUUCAUCCAGUCCAUAUAUCUUAGCCAUUGGAAAAUCUUAAAUAAAAUCUUCUUUAAAGUCCUUUCAAACUUUUUUGAGAGUAGUUGUCAGUUUAGGCAUAUAUCCCAACUUUAACUUGUACGUAUGGUAAAAAUAUUACUUGCCCAUAGAUGGCAAUAGCAUUACAUUGCUGAAUUAGCCCUCAGCCUAUGAAAUGAGGUUGUGAUGGUGGUGAACAUUAACCUUGGGAAUGGAAAAAAAAUAUCUUGCCUUUUCUUUUUCUUCUUUUUUUUUUUUUUCUUGUCUGCAGCAGUGGCAAUGGGGACUGUUCUAUUUGCAGGAAUGUUGGGACUAAUCAUGUGAGAAAAGAUCCUGGAGUGAUGAGGCAGCAUAUUUCCCAUGUCUGAGGUCAGGAUUUGUUCUGUGAAGCUGACCUUUAAAACAGCCUGAAAAUGAGGAACGUGGCACCAGAGAGCAGAGCAGGAAGCAUGAAAUGAUGGUAGGAGAAAGCCGGAGGCACCGUCCUGGAACAGGCAGUCCCUUUUAUCACUGGGAAAUGGCGGACCACAGAGCAAGUGGAUGUGUUUCCAGAGCCACAGCAGGUGCAACUCUUGGGCAAGGAGCUCUCCAGCCUGAGCUCUCCAUUUUGCUUGGAUUAUGGAACAGUGGUGCCUGAAGUCACUUAAAAUACAGCAUAGAACUUGUCUGUUGCCACCAAUGGUAAAUGUACUAAAGUUAGAGGAGAGGAAGCCA
This 760-nucleotide long non-coding RNA is filed under the name Manacus vitellinus (golden-collared manakin). RNAcentral describes it as "lncRNA (ENSMVIG00005000064.1)". Lineage: Eukaryota; Metazoa; Chordata; Aves; Passeriformes; Pipridae. The record is from RNAcentral.